This 453-nucleotide ribosomal RNA is filed under the name uncultured Marinilabiliaceae bacterium. Its description in RNAcentral is "partial 16S ribosomal RNA". It matches the Rfam family "Bacterial small subunit ribosomal RNA", at positions 341 to 792 of the family's 1533-position model. The record is from RNAcentral. Lineage: Bacteria; Pseudomonadati; Bacteroidota; Bacteroidia; Marinilabiliales; Marinilabiliaceae.
ACGGAAGGCAGCAGUGAGGAAUAUUGGUCAAUGGGCGAGAGCCUGAACCAGCCAUGUCGCGUGCAGGAUUACGGCCCUACGGGUCUUAAACUGCUUUUGAUUGGGGAUAAAGUGGGGGACGCGUCCCCUAUUGCAGGUACCAAUCGAAUAAGGAUCGGCUAACUCCGUGCCAGCAGCCGCGGUAAUACGGGGAUCCGAGCGUUAUCCGGAUUUAUUGGGUUUAAAGGGUGCGCAGGCGGCACGUUAAGUCAGUGGUGAAAUGUCAGGGCUCAACCUUGGCACUGCCAUUGAAACUGGCGAGCUAGAGUGCGUUUGGGGUGCAUGGAAUGUGUGGUGUAGCGGUGAAAUGCAUAGAUAUCGCACAGAACGCCGAUCGCGAAGGCAGUGCACCAAGCCGCAACUGACGCUCAGGCACGAAAGCGCGGGGAUCGAACAGGAUUAGAUACCCUGGUA